Molecule: ribosomal RNA, 465 nt
Filed under: uncultured bacterium
Lineage: Bacteria
Description: bacterial SSU rRNA
Rfam family: Bacterial small subunit ribosomal RNA
Source: RNAcentral
GGGCCCGCACAAGCGGAGGAACAUGUGGUUUAAUUCGAUGAUACGCGAGGAACCUUACCUGGGUUUGAACGCAUUACGACUGGUGCCGAAAGGUAUCUUCCCUUCGGGGCGUUUUGCGAGGUGCUGCAUGGUUGUCGUCAGCUCGUGCCGUGAGGUGUCGGAUUAAGUUCCAUAACGAGCGCAACCCUUAUCAUUAGUUGCCAUCGGGUAAUGCCGGGGACUCUAAUGAAACUGCCGGUGUAAACCGUGAGGAAGGUGGGGAUGACGUCAAAUCAGCACGGCCCUUACAUCCAGGGCUACACACGUGUUACAAUGGCCAGUACAAAGGGCAGCUACACCGCGAGGUGAUGCUAAUCUCUAAAACUGGUCUCAGUUCGGAUCGAAGUCUGCAACUCGACUUCGUGAAGCUGGAUUCGCUAGUAAUCGCGCAUCAGCCAUGGCGCGGUGAAUACGUUCCCGGGCCUU